This 468-nucleotide ribosomal RNA is filed under the name uncultured bacterium. Its description in RNAcentral is "partial 16S ribosomal RNA". It matches the Rfam family "Bacterial small subunit ribosomal RNA", at positions 28 to 507 of the family's 1533-position model. The record is from RNAcentral.
GAUGAACGCUGGCGGCGUGCUUAACACAUGCAAGUCGAACGGAAAGGCCCAAGCUUGCUUGGGUACUCGAGUGGCGAACGGGUGAGUAACACGUGGGUGAUCUGCCCUGCACUUCGGGAUAAGCCUGGGAAACUGGGUCUAAUACCGGAUAGGACGAUGGUUUGGAUGCCAUUGUGGAAAGUUUUUUCGGUGUGGGAUGAGCUCGCGGCCUAUCAGCUUGUUGGUGGGGUAAUGGCCUACCAAGGCGUCGACGGGUAGCCGGCCUGAGAGGGUGUACGGCCACAUUGGGACUGAGAUACGGCCCAGACUCCUACGGGAGGCAGCAGUGGGGAAUAUUGCACAAUGGGCGCAAGCCUGAUGCAGCGACGCCGCGUGGGGGAUGAUGGCCUUCGGGUUGUAAACUCCUUUCGCUAGGGACGAAGCGUUUUUGUGACGGUACCUGGAGAAGAAGCACCGGCUAACUACGUG